This 497-nucleotide ribosomal RNA is filed under the name uncultured bacterium. Its description in RNAcentral is "partial 16S ribosomal RNA". It matches the Rfam family "Bacterial small subunit ribosomal RNA", at positions 28 to 507 of the family's 1533-position model. The record is from RNAcentral.
GAUGAACGCUGGCGGCGUGCCUAAUACAUGCAAGUCGAGCGAACGGACGAGAAGCUUGCUUCUCUGAUGUUAGCGGCGGACGGGUGAGUAACACGUGGAUAACCUACCUAUAAGACUUGGAUAACUUCGGGAAACCGGAGCUACUACCGGAUAAUAUUUUGAACCGCAUGGUUCAAAAGUAAAAGACGGUCUUGCUGUCACUUAUAGAUGGAUCCGCGCUGCAUUAGCUAGUUGGUAAGGUAACGGCUUACCAAGGCAACGAUGCAUAGCCGACCUGAGAGGGUGAUCGGCCACACUGGAACUGAGACACGGUCCAGACUCCUACGGGAGGCAGCAGUAGGGAAUCUUCCGCAAUGGGCGAAAGCCUGACGGAGCAACGCCGCGUGAGUGAUGAAGGUCUUCGGAUCGUAAAACUCUGUCAUUAGGGAAGAACAGAUGUGUAAGUAACUGUGCACAUCUUGACGGUACCUAAUCAGAAAGCCACGGCUAACUACGUG